This is a transfer RNA of Pestalotiopsis fici W106-1, 74 nucleotides long. It matches the Rfam family "tRNA". Rfam says of the family: Transfer RNA (tRNA) molecules are approximately 80 nucleotides in length. Their secondary structure includes four short double-helical elements and three loops (D, anti-codon, and T loops). NCBI's taxonomy places the organism in Eukaryota, Fungi, Ascomycota, Sordariomycetes, Amphisphaeriales, Sporocadaceae. The record is from Rfam.
GGUCCGAUGGUGUAGUUGGUUAUCACGUCAGUCUAACACACUGAAGGUCGGCGGAUCGAGCCCGCCUCGGAUCA